Molecule: ribosomal RNA, 504 nt
Filed under: uncultured bacterium
Lineage: Bacteria
Description: partial 16S ribosomal RNA
Source: RNAcentral
UGGUCCUCGAGUUGCAGACUCCAAUCUGGACUACGAUAGGCUUUUUGAGAUUCGCAUCACAUCGCUGUGUAGCUGCCCUCUGUACCUACCAUUGUAGCACGUGUGUAGCCCUGGUCGUAAGGGCCAUGAUGACUUGACGUCGUCCCCGCCUUCCUCCAGUUUGUCACUGGCAGUAUCCUUAGAGUUCCCGGCCAAACCGCUGGUAACUAAGGACAAGGGUUGCGCUCGUUGCGGGACUUAACCCAACAUCUCACGACACGAGCUGACGACAGCCAUGCAGCACCUGUAUUCUAAUUCCCGAAGGCACUCCCGCAUCUCUGCAGGAUUCUAGAUAUGUCAAGACCAGGUAAGGUUCUUCGCGUUGCAUCGAAUUAAACCACAUGCUCCACCGCUUGUGCGGGCCCCCGUCAAUUCAUUUGAGUUUUAACCUUGCGGCCGUACUCCCCAGGCGGUCUACUUAUUGCGUUAGCUGCGUCACUAAGUCCUCAAGGGACCCAACGACUA